CAGGAGAUAGUUUAAGGAGAAUUCUGGCUUUGGGAGUCAGGGGUGGAAGUUAGAGUCUUUCUUUUCUGA
Molecule: transfer RNA, 69 nt
Filed under: Aphredoderus sayanus (pirate perch)
Lineage: Eukaryota; Metazoa; Chordata; Actinopteri; Percopsiformes; Aphredoderidae
Description: tRNA-Pro
Rfam family: tRNA
About the family: Transfer RNA (tRNA) molecules are approximately 80 nucleotides in length.
Source: RNAcentral